GUCGAGCGGAUUUAUCCUUCGGGAUAAGUUAGCGGCGGACGGGUGAGUAACACGUAGGUAACCUGCCUAUAAGAUCGGGAUAACUAUCGGAAACGAUAGCUAAGACCGGAUAAUUGGUUUUCUCGCAUGAGAGAAUUAUGAAACACGGAGCAAUCUGUGGCUUAUAGAUGGGCCUGCGGCGCAUUAGCUAGUUGGUAGGGUAACGGCCUACCAAGGCGACGAUGCGUAGCCGACCUGAGAGGGUGAACGGCCACACUGGGACUGAGACACGGCCCANACUCCUACGGGAGGCAGCAGUAGGGAAUCUUCCGCAAUGGACGCAAGUCUGACGGAGCAACGCCGCGUGAGUGAUGAAGGUUUUCGGAUCGUAAAGCUCUGUUGCCCUAGACNAACAGCAAGNNGAGUAACUGCYYUUUGUGUGACGGUAUAGGAGAAGAAAGCCCCGGCUAACUACGUGCCAGCAGCCGCGGUAAUACGUAGGGGGCAAGCGUUGUCCGGAAUUAUUGGGCGUAAAGCGCGCGCAGGCGGUCAAUUAAGUUGGGUGUUUAAGCCCGGGGCUCAACCCCGGUUCGCAUCCAAAACUGGUUGACUUGAGUGUAGGAGAGGAAAGUGGAAUUCCACGUGUAGCGGUGAAAUGCGUAGAGAUGUGGAGGAACACCAGUGGCGAAGGCGACUUUCUGGCCUAUAACUGACGCUGAGGCGCG
This 704-nucleotide ribosomal RNA is filed under the name Paenibacillus sp. Its description in RNAcentral is "bacterial SSU rRNA". The record is from RNAcentral. Lineage: Bacteria; Bacillati; Bacillota; Bacilli; Caryophanales; Paenibacillaceae.